UACGAAGGGGGCUAGCGUUGCUCGGAAUUACUGGGCGUAAAGGGCGCGUAGGCGGACAGUUUAGUCAGAGGUGAAAGCCCAGGGCUCAACCUUGGAAUUGCCUUUGAUACUGGCUGUCCUGAGUUCGGGAGAGGUGAGUGGAAUGCCGAGUGUAGAGGUGAAAUUCGUAGAUAUUCGGCGGAACACCAGUGGCGAAGGCGACUCACUGGCCCGAUACUGACGCUGAGGCGCGAAAGCGUGGGGAGCAAACAGG
This 253-nucleotide ribosomal RNA is filed under the name uncultured bacterium. Its description in RNAcentral is "partial 16S ribosomal RNA". It matches the Rfam family "Bacterial small subunit ribosomal RNA", at positions 524 to 776 of the family's 1533-position model. The record is from RNAcentral.